GACGAACGCUGGCGGCGUGCUUAACACAUGCAAGUCGAGCGGAAAGGCCACUUCGGUGGUACUCGAGCGGCGAACGGGUGAGUAACACGUGAGUAAUCUGCCCCUGGCUUUGGGAUAGCCACCGGAAACGGUGAUUAAUACCGGAUACGACCACUUCUCGCAUGGGAUGGUGGUGGAAAGUUUUUUCGGCCAGGGAUGCGCUCGCGGCCUAUCAGCUUGAUGGUGAGGUAAUGGCUCACCAUGGCUUCGACGGGUAGCCGGCCUGAGAGGGUGACCGGUCACACUGGGACUGAGACACGGCCCAGACUCCUACGGGGGGCAGCAGUGGGGAAUAUUGGACAAUGGGCGGAAGCCUGAUCCAGCAACGCCGCGUGAGGGAUGACGGCCUUCGGGUUGUAAACCUCUUUCAGCAGGGACGAAGCGCAAGUGACGGUACCUGCAGAAGAAGCACCGGCCAACUACGUGCCAGCAGCCGCCGUAA
This 481-nucleotide ribosomal RNA is filed under the name uncultured bacterium. RNAcentral describes it as "partial 16S ribosomal RNA". It matches the Rfam family "Bacterial small subunit ribosomal RNA", at positions 28 to 523 of the family's 1533-position model. The record is from RNAcentral.